RNAcentral lists this ribosomal RNA (506 nucleotides) under uncultured bacterium. RNAcentral's name for it is "partial 16S ribosomal RNA". It matches the Rfam family "Bacterial small subunit ribosomal RNA", at positions 29 to 523 of the family's 1533-position model. The record is from RNAcentral.
AGUGAACGCUGGCGGUAGGCCUAACACAUGCAAGUCGAACGGCAGCACAGGAGAGCUUGCUCUCUGGGUGGCGAGUGGCGGACGGGUGAGGAAUACAUCGGAAUCUACUCUGUCGUGGGGGAUAACGUAGGGAAACUUACGCUAAUACCGCAUACGACCUACGGGUGAAAGCAGGGGACCUUCGGGCCUUGCGCGAUUGAAUGAGCCGAUGUCGGAUUAGCUAGUUGGCGGGGUAAAGGCCCACCAAGGCGACGAUCCGUAGCUGGUCUGAGAGGAUGAUCAGCCACACUGGAACUGAGACACGGUCCAGACUCCUACGGGAGGCAGCAGUGGGGAAUAUUGGACAAUGGGCGCAAUCCUGAUCCAGCCAUACCGCGUGGGUGAAGAAGGCCUUCGGGUUGUAAAGCCCUUUUGUUGGGAAAGAAAUCCAGCUGGCUAAUACCCGGUUGAGACGACGGUACCCAAAGAAUAAGCACCGGCUAACUUCGUGCCAGCCGCCGCGGUAA